RNAcentral lists this ribosomal RNA (301 nucleotides) under uncultured bacterium. Its description in RNAcentral is "partial 16S ribosomal RNA". It matches the Rfam family "Bacterial small subunit ribosomal RNA", at positions 509 to 807 of the family's 1533-position model. The record is from RNAcentral.
CAGUAGCCGCGGGAAUACGAAGGGUGCAAGCGUUAAUCGGAAUUACUGGGCGUAAAGCGCGCGUAGGUGGUUUGUUAAGUUGGAUGUGAAAGCCCCGGGCUCAACCUGGGAACUGCAUCCAAAACUGGCAAGCUAGAGUACGGUAGAGGGUGGUGGAAUUUCCUGUGUAGCGGUGAAAUGCGUAGAUAUAGGAAGGAACACCAGUGGCGAAGGCGACCACCUGGACUGAUACUGACACUGAGGUGCGAAAGCGUGGGGAGCAAACAGGAUUAGAGACCCCUGUAGUCCCUGUCUCUUAUAC